RNAcentral lists this ribosomal RNA (1020 nucleotides) under uncultured Burkholderia sp. RNAcentral describes it as "bacterial SSU rRNA". It matches the Rfam family "Bacterial small subunit ribosomal RNA", at positions 8 to 1015 of the family's 1533-position model. Lineage: Bacteria; Pseudomonadati; Pseudomonadota; Betaproteobacteria; Burkholderiales; Burkholderiaceae. The record is from RNAcentral.
AGAGUUUGAUCCUGGCUCAGAGCGAACGCUGGCGGCGUGCCUAACACAUGCAAGUCGAACGUGAAAUGGAGCAAUCCAGAGUAAAGUGGCGUACGGGUGAGUAACACGUAGGUAAUCUACCUCAGUGUCUGGAAUAACCUGCCGAAAGGCGGGCUAAUACUGGAUAGAGCGACGGAAUCCGUAAUUGGGUUUUUCGGGAAAGGGAGGGAGUAAUCUCCUUCGCACUGGGAUGAGCCUGCGUCUGAUUAGCUAGUUGGUGGGGUAAAGGCCCACCAAGGCGAUGAUCGGUAGCUGGUCUGAGAGGAUGAUCAGCCACACUGGAACUGAAACACGGUCCAGACUCCUACGGGAGGCAGCAGUGGGGAAUCUUGCGCAAUGGACGAAAGUCUGACGCAGCCACGCCGCGUGAGUGAAGAAGGCCUUCGGGUUGUAAAGCUCUGUCGGGCGGGACGAAAACUCCCGGUGUUAACAGCAUCGGGAACUGACGGUACCGCCAAAGGAAGCACCGGCUAACUUCGUGCCAGCAGCCGCGGUAAUACGAGGGGUGCAAGCGUUGCUCGGAAUUAUUGGGCGUAAAGGGUAGGUAGGUGGUCUCAUUUGUCAGGGGUGAAAGCCUUGGGCUUAACCCAAGAAGUGCCCUUGAAACGGUGAGACUAGAGUACUGGAGAGGGUCGUGGAAUUCCCGGUGUAGCGGUGAAAUGCGUAGAGAUCGGGAGGAACACCAGAGGCGAAGGCGGCGACCUGGACAGUGACUGACACUCAACUACGAAAGCGUGGGUAGCAAACAGGAUUAGAUACCCUGGGUAGUCCACGCUGUAAACGAUGGGUACUAGGUUUGGUGGGUCUUGACCCCCGCCGAACCGGAGCUAACGCAAUAAGUACCCCGCCUGGGAAGUACGGUCGCAGACUAAACUCAAGGAAUUGACGGGGCCCGCACAAGCGUGGAUCAUGUGGUUUAAUUCGAAGCACGCGAGACUUACUGGGUUUGACAUCUCCGGACAUCAUAGAAGAUAUUGACUU